Molecule: ribosomal RNA, 253 nt
Filed under: uncultured bacterium
Lineage: Bacteria
Description: partial 16S ribosomal RNA
Rfam family: Bacterial small subunit ribosomal RNA
Source: RNAcentral
UACAGAGGUCUCAAGCGUUGUUCGGAUUCAUUGGGCGUAAAGGGUGCGUAGGUGGCAUGGUAAGUCGGAUGUGAAAUCUCGGGGCUCAACCCCGGAACUGCAUUCGAUACUGCUGCGCUAGAGUACUGGAGAGGAGAUUGGAAUUUACGGUGUAGCAGUGAAAUGCGUAGAUAUCGUAAGGAAGACCAGUGGCGAAGGCGGAUCUCUGGACAGUUACUGACACUGAGGCACGAAGGCCAGGGGAGCAAACGGG